GAUACAUUCUUUGUUGUUAUAGCAGUAAAUACAUUUGCACAAUCGGGAUAAUACACGAUAAUACAAUCGUAGACAUUGGGUUUAGUUCUUCCAACGUCGUUGGUAGAAUUUAGCUCUUUCCCAGCAAACGUGUACUCGAGGAAUUUGUGAGGUUGAUGAAGACUUUGAACACAUUUCUUCAUAAAGAAGUGUCUUCCAUCUUUUGAAGAAAGAUGAUGACUGUUGACUUUAGGUCAUGAAUAAGAUGGUUCGGUUCGAACAGUUCUAACCUUUGGAAAAUAAAAGCGAUACUCCGUUAUGUUGUCUCUGCAUAGCCGAAACAUCUGAAGAACACGUCACACUGGAUUUUGAAAUGAUUAGAGUAAACAAAAAGUGUAAAAUAAGGGUAAGAUGAGACAACACUUCAGUUGUCAGAAACUUUAAUCAUUUGCAAUAACCUAACCUAAAUUAACUUUCCUCGGUCGUAAGUAAAGAACGACACGGUAGCCAAAAAGAUCGUCAACAAUUUGUCGAUAAAUUGACAAGAUCAAGAUAUCAUAGUUUUGCAAUACCUUGCAAGAAUUUCAACCUUCUUCCACUAAACCCUUUUUGGAAAAAUGAAAGAUUGUUGUUUACCAAGAUCACGUCUUCCAAGAAAGUACCAACUAACAAGGGUUACUUGAGGAAAUGGUAUCAACUGAAUGUUGGUGUUCCCAAACACUAAAAUUGAGGAGAGAGUCGUUGGUAAGACUACUCCGAAUUUCGUUAGGCUAUGAAAGAAUUCUCGGUUUCCAAAAGUUAAUCCGAGAGAACAACAACUCGAAGUAGGACUAACGAUUUUAGUCGUCAACCGACUGAAUUGUUGAAGUCUAGGUAUGAUUCUAGGGUUUGACGUUUUGCUUUGUGGAUAGGUUUGAGAUUCUCAAGAUAAAGUGUUUAGUCCCUAGUUGGGUAAUUUCCUAAUUGGGAGACUUCGUAACUAAGUUUCUCAAUGCCUUAAAAAACGUUCAAUAUGAAGCAAGGAAAAUUGGUGUAAUACUAGGAAGUGGGUCGAUGAUGUACCUCACUUCACAAUUUGGUGAUAUCUCAGGUAAGAUUUUGGAAUAUGACGCCAAAGGUAUACGUCCUCGAAAUGUAGCAUACUACUAACCAACUCUAUGAAAGGAACAAAAGGUCUUCACAGUUUUCUCGACACUUAAAUCACUCUAACAACGAGAUAAUGGAAGUGAUCGAGAGGUGGCUAGUCAAAGAGGUUUCGUUUACCUAGGUAGGUGAUAAGGUAAAAACAACUAUGAGUUUAUUGUCCUAAUACCAAGCUUGUUCCUAAGCUUCCACAAUCCUAGUUUAUUCGGCUCAAGUAGCCACUAUUGAUCAGUUUAUCAGUCGCGCCGCAAUUUAACACACUUAGGAUAAUGUAAUAUUGUUCGUUACUUUGAAACAAUGAACCGGCAUUCAAGAAUAAAGGUAUCACUCCCAGAUACUAGUACUUACAUCCAGUAUUAGAAAUCAUACCACCAAAUGUUGGUUAACGGUAUCUGGAUAUCAGACAUCAUCGUCAAUUAGUAACGCCACUGUAGGCUGAUUACGGGUUAGAGCCCGUUCGAGUAGUAAGCUUAAAGUGAUUGGGAAGGAACUGGUCAAGCGAAGUAGUUCAUUGAUCCUAGGAGGAUUUGAUUAUUGCUUUUGGGAUUUCUACUACCCCCAAGAUAUGACAACUCAUACUCGCAAGCCCAUACACACCCAAUUGAUAAGUAUAACAAUGAAAGGAAAAUCUGGGAACUAGCAUUGAUAGGGAAGUCCCAAGGGUGGAAAAAGAACUUGUUAAUAAUCUACUUUCAAAAUCACUUUAUCGAGAGUCGAUCUUCCUUCUAAAGAUCUAGCAUGAACACUAGUACGAUUUAAAAUAUUAGUGCUAACAGAGGCCAAAAGUAAUUGUCCCUCAUAUGAUCUUCCGUCAAUUGCUACCACUUUAGCACCAGGUUGUCGCUUCAACCAUUUCUAGAAUUUGCUACUUCGUUAAGAUUCUAAGAGAGGGUAAACUAAUAGGUGAUACCAAAGAAACAAAACCAUUUUUGGUUUCCUAAUUUGAAAGGUUGGUAAAAACAAUUAGUAAAUCCCUGGUGAUAUUCAGCUUUUAAUGCAUUAGCCCGACUACGGGGCUAGCAACUCGUUUCUCCCAAAACAAAAUGUCCUUGGUAGGAAGAUUUGUCGUUUAAAGUCUAGGGGUGAUUUCCAAAAUGAUUCUCUAAAAUGACGAUAAGUCGUCUAAAGUGCCCAAAACUUGAGUAAAAGUUAAUACGUUUUUCAUGCUCAACGAGGUGGCAAGUUUCGAAUAUUCGGUUCAAGAACCAAGAAUGCUUACAUCACAUGUGAGAUGAACGCAAUACUGCCCAGACUUAAGCUCUGAUACCAAACUGACACACCCCGACCUGGAAUGUCCACUUGAACUCCGAAUCGAGUUAUGAUGGCCGACACCUGGAAGGUGACGAAGCCAUAAAGUGUAGAGAUGUGGAAAAAAGUAAAUAAUUAAACCGAAAAGUGCCUAAUC
RNAcentral lists this long non-coding RNA (2527 nucleotides) under Malus domestica (apple). RNAcentral's name for it is "long non-coding RNA (MDOM_LNC001909)". Lineage: Eukaryota; Viridiplantae; Streptophyta; Magnoliopsida; Rosales; Rosaceae. The record is from RNAcentral.